GACGAACGCUGGCGGCGUGCUUAACACAUGCAAGUCGAACGGAAAGGCCCUGCUUUUGUGGGGUGCUCGAGUGGCGAACGGGUGAGUAACACGUGAGUAACCUGCCCUUGACUUUGGGAUAACUUCAGGAAACUGGGGCUAAUACCGGAUAGGAGCUCCUGCUGCAUGGUGGGGGUUGGAAAGUUUCGGCGGUUGGGGAUGGACUCGCGGCUUAUCAGCUUGUUGGUGGGGUAGUGGCUUACCAAGGCUUUGACGGGUAGCCGGCCUGAGAGGGUGACCGGCCACAUUGGGACUGAGAUACGGCCCGACUCCUACGGGAGGCAGCAGUGGGGAAUAUUGCACAAUGGGCGGAAGCCUGAUGCAGCAACGCCGCGUGCGGGAUAACGGCCUUCGGGUUGUAAACCGCUUUCGCCUGUGACGAAGCGUGAGUGACGGUAAUGGGUAAAGAAGCACCGGCUAACUACGUG
Molecule: ribosomal RNA, 467 nt
Filed under: uncultured bacterium
Lineage: Bacteria
Description: partial 16S ribosomal RNA
Rfam family: Bacterial small subunit ribosomal RNA
Source: RNAcentral